RNAcentral lists this ribosomal RNA (379 nucleotides) under uncultured eukaryote. RNAcentral's name for it is "partial 18S ribosomal RNA". It matches the Rfam family "Eukaryotic small subunit ribosomal RNA", at positions 592 to 976 of the family's 1831-position model. The record is from RNAcentral.
CAAUAGCGUAUAUUUAAGUUGUUGCAGUUAAAAAGCUCGUAGUUGGAUUUCGGAUGGGACUUGCCGGUCCGUCGUUUCGAUGUGCACUGGCCAGUCCUAUCUUGUUGUCGGGGACUAGCUCCUGGGCUUCACUGUCCGGGACUAGGAGCUGACGAGGUUACUUUGAGUAAAUUAGAGUGUUCAAAGCAAGCCUACGCUCUGAAUACAUUAGCAUGGAAUAACACGAUAGGACUCUGGCUUAUCUUGUUGGUCUGUGAGACCAGAGUAAUGAUUAAGAGGGACAGUCGGGGGCAUUCGUAUUUCAUUGUCAGAGGUGAAAUUCUUGAAUUUAUGAAAGACGAACUUCUGCGAAAGCAUUUGUCAAGGAUGUUUUCAUUAA